Molecule: ribosomal RNA, 468 nt
Filed under: uncultured bacterium
Lineage: Bacteria
Description: partial 16S ribosomal RNA
Rfam family: Bacterial small subunit ribosomal RNA
Source: RNAcentral
GACGAACGCUGGCGGCGUGCUUAACACAUGCAAGUCGAACGGAAAGGCCCUGCCUUUGUGGGGUGCUCGAGUGGCGAACGGGUGAGUAACACGUGAGUAACCUGCCCCUGACUGUGGGAUAACUUCAGGAAACUGGGGCUAAUACCGGAUAGGAGCUACUGCUGCAUGGUGGGGGCUGGUAAGUUUCGGCGGUUGGGGAUGGACUGGCGGCUUAUCGGCUUGUUGGGGUGGUAGUGGCUUACCAAGCCCUGGACGGGUAGCCGGCCUGGGCGGGUAACCGGCCCCAUUGGGACUGGACUGCGGCCCAGCCUCCUACGGGAGGCAGCGGUGGGGAAUAUUGUACUGUAGGCUGAGGCCUGGUCUGACCACGCCGCGUCCGGUGUGAGGGCCUUCGGGUUGUGUUCCGCUUCCGCCUUUGACGAAGCGUGAAUGACGGUAAUGGGUAAAGAAGCACCGGCUAACUACGUG